This 648-nucleotide long non-coding RNA is filed under the name Prunus persica (peach). RNAcentral's name for it is "long non-coding RNA (PPER_LNC005563)". Lineage: Eukaryota; Viridiplantae; Streptophyta; Magnoliopsida; Rosales; Rosaceae. The record is from RNAcentral.
ACCAGUGGUGGGAGCAAGACGCCGUGUUGUAUCAAGGUGGGUUUGAAGAGAGGGCCGUGGACGCCCGAAGAGGACGAGCUCUUGUCCAAUUACAUCAAUAAAGAAGGUGAGGGCCGAUGGCGGACCCUACCCAAGAGGGCGGGGCUGCUCCGCUGCGGCAAGAGUUGCCGCCUCCGCUGGAUGAACUACCUCCGCCCUUCUGUCAAGCGCGGCCAGAUCGCCCCCGACGAAGAAGAUCUCAUCCUUCGCCUCCAUCGCCUCCUCGGCAACCGGUAUACAUAUAUAUACAUAUAUAUAUAUAUAUAUGCCCAUCAUCAUCAUCAUCAUCCAUUCUACACACACAUAUGUAUAAUUACUUAUUGAUUUCUAGGGUUAGGGUUUCACUGUUGAGAUCGAGUGUUUGAAUUAAUGAAUUAUAUGUAUGUAUAGGUGGUCUUUGAUAGCUGGGAGGAUCCCAGGGCGUACGGACAAUGAGAUAAAGAACUACUGGAACACACACCUGAGCAAGAAGCUGAUCAGCCAAGGCAUAGAUCCCAGAACCCACAAGCCUCUAAAUCCAGAUAUUCACUCCUCGGCUACUGUUGCUGCUGCUGAUAUGGACAGCAACAUUAACAAAGCAGCAACAGUUUCUUCUUCCAAAACCAAUCG